RNAcentral lists this long non-coding RNA (521 nucleotides) under Capra hircus (goat). Its description in RNAcentral is "lncRNA (ENSCHIG00010022568.1)". Lineage: Eukaryota; Metazoa; Chordata; Mammalia; Artiodactyla; Bovidae. The record is from RNAcentral.
UUCCAUCUCAUUUUAUGGUUCAGGAAGCCAAAGCCUGCAAUAAAGAAUGACAUGCCCAGUGGCUUCUGAUUUACUAACAUGGUCAUGAAUAUUGGUGCAGAACUUGGCUUGGAAGCUUCUAUGUCGCCCCAGAGGAGGUUUGAGGAAAUCCUUCAAAAUGUUUUCUGCUUGUGGAAAGGAACGUGAAAAUGGAUGGUAGGAGGGAGGAGAGAAGGAAAAAAAAAAAAAAAAGGAAGAAAGUUGACCUCUUGUCCUCCCGGGACUUUCUGUUCCGCACUUCACCUGCUCGGCUUUCUCCAUGGCUCCAUUCGCAAACCAGCUCUCUGUAUCUCCCACCGCCAUGAAGGCCCGCUGACACGGGUUUGCAUUUUGAAAACCCUCGCGCGCCCGCCCGAGCUGGGCAUGCUCAAACGCCCAGGACUGGUUUUUUUUCGGUUUCCAACUUUGGCAGCUCUCCCACCCGCACCCCAAGGGGCAGGUCCGCACACAUCCCUGGGUGUGAGUAAAUGGGAAGAAAUUAU